This 69-nucleotide transfer RNA is filed under the name Myonycteris brachycephala (Sao Tome collared fruit bat). RNAcentral describes it as "tRNA-Thr". Lineage: Eukaryota; Metazoa; Chordata; Mammalia; Chiroptera; Pteropodidae. The record is from RNAcentral.
GUCUAUGUAGUAUAUAAAUUACACUGGUCUUGUAAACCAGAAAAGGGGAGUAACUUUCCCCCAAAGGCU